RNAcentral lists this ribosomal RNA (492 nucleotides) under uncultured bacterium. RNAcentral's name for it is "partial 16S ribosomal RNA". It matches the Rfam family "Bacterial small subunit ribosomal RNA", at positions 29 to 507 of the family's 1533-position model. The record is from RNAcentral.
AGUGAACGCUGGCGGCAGGCCUAACACAUGCAAGUCGAACGGCAGCACGGUAAGAGUUUGUUUCUAAUGGUGGCGAGUGGCGGACGGGUGAGGAAUACAUCGGCAUCUACUUUUUCGUGGGGGAUAACGUGGGGAAACUUCUGCUACUAGCGCAUACGACCUACGGGUGAAAGCAGAGGAUCUUGUGACCUUGCGCGUUUGAAUGAGCCGAUGUCGGAUUAGCUAGUUGGUGGGGUAAAGGCACACCAAGGCGACGAUCCGUAGCUGGUCUGAGAGGAUGAUCAGCCACACUGGAACUGAGACACGGUCCAGACUCCUACGGGAGGCAGCAGUGGGGAAUAUUGGACAAUGGGCGCAAGCCUGAUCCAGCCAUGCCGCGUGAGUGAAGAAGGCCUUCGGGUUGUAAAGCCCUUUUGUUAGGAAAGAAAAGCAGCAGGUUAAUACCCCGCUGUUCUGACGGUACCCAAAGAAUAAGCACCGGCUAACUUCGUG